CCUACGGGAGGCAGCAGUGGGGAAUUUUGGACAAUGGACGCAAGUCUGAUCCAGCCAUGCCGCGUGUGGGAAGAAGGCCUUCGGGUUGUAAACCACUUUUGUCAGGGAAGAAACGGCUCGGGUUAAUACCUUGGGCUAAUGACGGUACCUGAAGAAUAAGCACCGGCUAACUACAUGCCAGCAGCCGCGGUAAUACGUAGGGUGCAAGCGUUAAUCGGAAUUACUGGGCGUAAAGCGUGCGCAGGCGGUUAUGCAAGACAGAUGUGAAAUCCCCGGGCUCAACCUGGGAACUGCAUUUGUGACUGCAUGGCUAGAGUACGGUAGAGGGGGAUGGAAUUCCGCGUGUAGCAGUGAAAUGCGUAGAUAUGCGGAGGAACACCGAUGGCGAAGGCAAUCCCCUGGACCUGUACUGACGCUCAUGCACGAAAGCGUGGGGAGCAAACAGGAUUAGAUACCCUGGUAGUCCACGCCCUAAACGAUGUCAACUGGUUGUUGGGAGGGUUUCUUCUCAGUAACGUAGCUAACGCGUGAAGUUGACCGCCUGGGGAGUACGGCCGCCAGGUUGAAACUCAAAUGAAUUGACGG
This 585-nucleotide ribosomal RNA is filed under the name uncultured bacterium. RNAcentral's name for it is "bacterial SSU rRNA". It matches the Rfam family "Bacterial small subunit ribosomal RNA", at positions 338 to 916 of the family's 1533-position model. The record is from RNAcentral.